RNAcentral lists this ribosomal RNA (496 nucleotides) under uncultured bacterium. RNAcentral's name for it is "partial 16S ribosomal RNA". It matches the Rfam family "Bacterial small subunit ribosomal RNA", at positions 29 to 507 of the family's 1533-position model. The record is from RNAcentral.
AUGAACGCUGGCGGCGUGCCUAAUGCAUGCAAGUCGAGCGAACGGACGAGAAGCUUGCUUUUCUGAUGUUAGCGGCGGACGGGUGAGUAACACGUGGAUAACCUACCUAUAAGACUGGGAUAACUUCGGGAAACCGGAGCUAAUACCGGAUAAUAUUUUGAACCGCAUGGUUCAAAAGUGAAAGACGGUCUUGCUGUCACUUAUAGAUGGAUCCGCGCUGCAUUAGCUAGUUGGUAAGGUAACGGCUUACCAAGGCAACGAUGCAUAGCCGACCUGAGAGGGUGAUCGGCCACACUGGAACUGAGACACGGUCCAGACUCCUACGGGAGGCAGCAGUAGGGAAUCUUCCGCAAUGGGCGAAAGCCUGACGGAGCAACGCCGCGUGAGUGAUGAAGGUCUUCGGAUCGUAAAACUCUGUUAUUAGGGAAGAACAUAUGUGUAAGUAACUGUGCACAUCUUGACGGUACCCAAUCAGAAAGCCACGGCUAACUACGUG